This is a long non-coding RNA of Sebastes umbrosus (honeycomb rockfish), 444 nucleotides long. RefSeq lists it as uncharacterized. The record is from RefSeq and is a predicted model, not a curated record. NCBI's taxonomy places the organism in Eukaryota, Metazoa, Chordata, Actinopteri, Perciformes, Sebastidae. The transcript has 2 exons.
CUGGAGAAACGGAACAUCCUCGAAGAAUUCAUCAUGGUUUAAAUCCAAACCUGCAGAGGCAAAAAAAAAAUAGAUUGAUUGUUAUUAACAAUCCAGAGGAGGAGCAUGGAGCAUGUUUACUGUACAGGAAAUAGAGACAAGACCUUUGGAGGAUGUUACAGCAUUAGAAUAUGAUUGGUACUAUACUAAAUUAUAGCUGCAGGCUGUCCGCUCCACUGGCUGGCUGGCUGCAGCACUGCUGCAAGAGCUAGGUCGCAUAGAAAGGACACCGCGUUGGAAAACUACACCAAUUAUUUAAGAUGCGCUAUUUAAAAAUGUAGUGUUAGUGUGUGGUAAUGAUGAUGAGAACUUUCUGUGUGAAAAAAAACAUGAGACUCCAAUUCAUAUCUUCAUGACCAGCCCAUAAUUGUGAACAUAUUUCAAUAAAACUGUGCUAUUUCUUUU